This 1221-nucleotide ribosomal RNA is filed under the name metagenome. RNAcentral describes it as "SSU rRNA". It matches the Rfam family "Eukaryotic small subunit ribosomal RNA", at positions 3 to 1152 of the family's 1831-position model. The record is from RNAcentral.
CCUGGUUGAUCCUGCCAGUAGUCAUAUGCUCGUCUUAAAGAUUAAGCCAUGCAUGUCUAAGUAUAAGCUAAUUUAUACGGUGAAACUGCGAAUGGCUCAAUAAAACAGUUAUUGUUUAUUUGAUAAUGAUUUUUCUACAUGGAUAACCGUAGUAAUUCUAGGGCUAAUACAUGCACUUGAAAGGCGACUUCUCGCGAGGAAGCCUUGUAUUUAUUAGAUUAAAAACCAAUGCAGGCGUUUCGGCGUCUGGAAAAACACUGGUGAACCAUAGUAACUUAACGAAUCGCAUGGCCUUUGCGCUGGCGAUGAAUCAUUCAAGUUUCUGCCCUAUCAACUGUCGAUGGUAGUGUAUUGGACUACCAUGGUGUUAACGGGUAACGUAGGAUUAGGGUCCGAUCACGGAGAGGGCGCCUGAGAAACGGCGACCACUUCUAAGGAAGGCAGCAGGCGCGCAAAUUACCCAAUCCUGAUACAGGGAGGUAGUGACAAUAAAUAACAAUAUGGGGCAACUUAAUUGUCUUGUAAUUGGAAUGAGUACAAUUUAAAAACCUUAACGAGGAACCAUUGGAGGGCAAGUCUGGUGCCAGCAGCCGCGGUAAUUCCAGCUCCAAUAGCGUAUGCUAAAGUUGUUGCGGUUAAAAAGCUCGUAGUCGGAUUUUACCCUUUACAUUUAAAGAAGUCGCGUCUGCCGGGAAGGUAUGCAUGUGACUUCAAAGGGUAUUUUGUUUCUGGAAUGUUCACAUAUGUACUUGAUUGGAUGUAUGUAAAAGGAGGGUGGGGGGGCUUCGGUCUUCCCGCUCGCCCGAACUUCUAGACUUUUACUGUGAAAAAAUUAAGUGUUCAACGCAGGCUUCAUAUGCCAUUGAAUAUUUUAGCAUGGGAUAAUAGAAUAGGAUCUUUUCCAUAUUUUAUUGGUUUCCUUGAGAAAGAUAAUGAUUAAUAGGGAUAGUUGGGGGCGUUCAUAUUUAGUUGUCAGAGGUGAAAUUCUUGGAUUUACGAAAGAUGAACUUAUGCGAAAGCAUUCGCCAAGGAUGUUUUCAUUGAUCAAGAACGAAAGUUAGGGGAUCGAAGACGAUUAGAUACCGUCGUAGUCUUAACCAUAAACGAUGGCAGCCAGGGAUUGGAAGAAGUAUCAUGGAUGACUCCUCCAGCACCUUGUGAGAAAUCAUAAGCUUUUGGCCUCCGGGGGGAGUACAGUCAUAAGGCUGAAACUUAAAGGAA